This 26-nucleotide non-coding RNA is filed under the name Mus musculus (house mouse). Lineage: Eukaryota; Metazoa; Chordata; Mammalia; Rodentia; Muridae. The record is from RNAcentral.
UGAAGUGAGGGAAAUCAGUACUGUGC